GUGUAACUCAGACAGAUAUUUAUUAUAGAAGUGGAGAAGAUUGAUAAUGUACAAAAAGAAAUCAGAAAAAUUAUAAAUAGGAGACAUGAAAAAAGUGGUAAAUGAUUAUUGGGUUAAAACAAUUGAUUUGGGUUUUCUCUUUUACUUAUUGCCUUUUCAAAUUUCUUAAAGUUAUAAAAAAACCCAACCCCUCUUAACACAAUAAAAUCCCCCAAAACCACGACCAUCAUGGUAGCACAUUAUCACUAUUCAUCUAUUCUAACCAGCAACAACUAUCUAACUAAUCCAAAUAUUUAACUAUCAAGAGAAGAAAGAAGAAUAUCACAGUAACUGUACGGCACUUGGCAAUAUUUAAAGUUACACAUUCAGUUUAGUAAUAAUAAAGUUAAAUAUUCAAUUUGGAAACAAUAAAAAAAAAAUAA
Molecule: unclassified non-coding RNA, 422 nt
Filed under: Hevea brasiliensis (rubber tree)
Lineage: Eukaryota; Viridiplantae; Streptophyta; Magnoliopsida; Malpighiales; Euphorbiaceae
Source: RNAcentral